This 273-nucleotide ribosomal RNA is filed under the name uncultured bacterium. RNAcentral's name for it is "partial 16S ribosomal RNA". It matches the Rfam family "Bacterial small subunit ribosomal RNA", at positions 524 to 796 of the family's 1533-position model. The record is from RNAcentral.
UACGUAGGCAGCGAGCGUUGUUCGGAGUUACUGGGCGUAAAGCGUGCGUAGGCGGUGGUCCAAGUCUGGUGUGAAAUCUCCCGGCUCAACCGGGAGGGUGCGCCGGAAACUGGGCCGCUGGAGUGCCGGAGAGGCAAGCGGAAUUCCUGGUGUAGCGGUGAAAUGCGUAGAUAUCAGGAGGAACACCCGUGGUGUAGACGGCUUGCUGGACGGCAACUGACGCUGAGGCACGAAAGCGUGGGGAGCAAACAGGAUUAGAAACCCCCGUAGUCC